GAAAUGCGAUAAGUAGUGUGAAUUGCAGAAUUCAGUGAAUCAUCGAAUCUUUGAACGCACAUUGCGCCCCUUGGUAUUCCAUGGGGCAUGCCUGUUCGAGCGUCAUUUGUACCCUCAAGCUCUGCUUGGUGUUGGGUGUUUGUCCCCGUCUCCGCGCGUGGACUCGCCCCAAAGUGAUUGGCAGCCGGCGUACUGGUCCCGGAGCGCAGCACAUGUCGCGCAAACGAGUGCCUUGGUACGGCGGCGUCCAUAAGCCCCUCUCUCACGCUCUUGACCUCGGAUCAGGUAGGGUUACCCGCUGAACUUAAGC
RNAcentral lists this unclassified non-coding RNA (310 nucleotides) under plant metagenome. RNAcentral describes it as "partial contains 5.8S ribosomal RNA, internal transcribed spacer 2, and large subunit ribosomal RNA". The stretch from base 1 to 105 matches the Rfam family "5.8S ribosomal RNA", at positions 50 to 154 of the family's 154-position model. The record is from RNAcentral.